GUGGUUAUCUAUAUUAUAUUAAUCAGUUUGAUGAGACUUGUCAAAUAUUAUUAUCUAUUUAUUUUUGCAUACAGUACAUGUAUUUUUGAUACAGCUUACUUAUUCAUUUUACGGAUGAUUAAAACUGGUAUAACAUGUUUCCUUAUACUCUGUGUUUGCGUCAACAGUAACACGGAUCAUGUUGUUUGGAUGUCAUGUCAAUAGUCUAAUGUUUGUG
Molecule: long non-coding RNA, 217 nt
Filed under: Mytilus galloprovincialis (Mediterranean mussel)
Lineage: Eukaryota; Metazoa; Mollusca; Bivalvia; Mytilida; Mytilidae
Source: RNAcentral